ACAACGUCAGAGCAACAAUCAUCCUGAAAAUGUUCCCUUGUGAAUUCAAAUGAACUCCUCACGUAGGAGAUACUACCAGCAUGUCUACUUUACAAAUGGGGAAACUGAGUCCCAAAAAGGUGAAUUUCUUCAUUCGCCAUCAUGAAGAUAGGAACUGAAUAACCUGGACCUGAGCCCAGAAUCCAUUCACAACAAUGCCUCUGAAUUCAUCCCCGUCUCUCCUUCAAGAAUAAGAAGAGGCCAGCUGACAUCCUCAAAAAUGCGGUCAUGUUGAAGGUCAUUAACUGAAACACAAUCUAGGACCUAUAAGCCUAAGUCUGCCAAGCCAGUUCCAGUGCAAUUUCCCUAAGAAACAAAACAAAGAUGAAUAGAGACAGAAUAAAGCACUGAAUAAAUGCAGAGAGUGGGCUUUGAAUAAUGAACAAGACUGUUUCAUUCCUGAUCUGUUACAGUGACAGUUACCUGGCAUUGUUCUGAACUCCUUACACAGACUCUCUCCGUCACUAUCCUGACUCCAGUGCUUUGAGGCUGGUGCCAUUAUCACCAUUUUACAGAUGUGGAAACUGAAGCGUAGAAAGGGUUUUGGGGUACAUGUGAAGAACAUGCAAGACAGUUGCAUAGGUACACACGUGGCAGUGUCAUUUGCUGCCUUCCUCCCCUUCACCUAUAUCUGGCAUUUCUCCCCAUGUUAUCUCUCCCCAAAUCCCCACCCCCCACCGUCCCUCCCCUAUUCCCCCCAACAGACCCCAGUGUGUAGUGCUCCCCUUCCUGUGUCCAUGUGUUCUCAUUGUUCAUCACCCGCCUAUGAGUGAGAACAUGCGGUAUUUCAUUUUCUGUUCUUGUGUCAGUUUGCUGAGAAUGAUGUUCUCCAGGUUCAUCCAUGUCCCUACAAAGAACACGAACUCAUCAUUUUUGAUGGCUGCAUAAUAUUCCAUGGUGUAUAUUUGCCACAUUUUCCCUGUCCAGUCUAUCAUCGAUGGGCAUUUGGGUUGGUUCCACGUCUUUGCUAUUGUAAACAGUGCUGCAAUGAACAUUCGUGUGCAUGUAAACACUGACAUUUGAAUGUCAUAUCAUUUUCACAUUUCUUCAAAUAUUCUUUUAAAUUUUUUCACCCAUUUAAAAACAUACAAACCAUUCUUACCAUCACAGUCCCUAUAAUAACAGGUGGCAGGCCAUAUUCAAGCCACAAACCAUAGUUUGUGACCCUUGAUCAAGAGGAC
Molecule: long non-coding RNA, 1220 nt
Filed under: Callithrix jacchus (white-tufted-ear marmoset)
Lineage: Eukaryota; Metazoa; Chordata; Mammalia; Primates; Cebidae
Description: lncRNA (ENSCJAG00000061297.2)
Source: RNAcentral